UACGAAGGGGGCUAGCGUUGUUCGGAUUUACUGGGCGUAAAGCGCACGUAGGCGGAUCGUUAAGUCGGGGGUGAAAUCCUGGAGCUCAACUCCAGAACUGCCUUCGAUACUGGCGAUCUUGAGUCCGGAAGAGGUGAGUGGAACUCCUGGUGUAGAGGUGGAAUUCGUAGAUAUUAGGAAGAACACCAGUGGCGAAGGCGGCUCACUGGUCCGGUACUGACGCUGAGGUGCGAAAGCGUGGGGAGCGAACAGG
This 253-nucleotide ribosomal RNA is filed under the name uncultured bacterium. RNAcentral describes it as "partial 16S ribosomal RNA". It matches the Rfam family "Bacterial small subunit ribosomal RNA", at positions 524 to 776 of the family's 1533-position model. The record is from RNAcentral.